Molecule: ribosomal RNA, 607 nt
Filed under: uncultured bacterium
Lineage: Bacteria
Description: bacterial SSU rRNA
Rfam family: Bacterial small subunit ribosomal RNA
Source: RNAcentral
GUCGAACGGACCCAUAUUGAAACCUAGUGAUAUAUGGGUUAGUGCCGUACGGGUGAGUAACGCGUGGGUAACCUGCCUUACACAGGGGGAUAACACUUAGAAAUAGGUGCUAAAACCGCAUAAGCGCACAGCUUCGCAUGAAGCGGUGUGAAAAACUUCGGUGGUGUAAGAUGGACCCGCGUCUGAUUAGCUUGUUGGCGGGGUAACGGCCCACCAAGGCGACGAUCAGUAGCCGGCCUGAGAGGGCGGACGGCCACAUUGGGACUGAGACACGGCCCAGACUCCUACGGGAGGCAGCAGUGGGGAAUAUUGCACAAUGGGGGAAACCCUGAUGCAGCGACGCCGCGUGAGUGAAGAAGUAAUUCGUUACGUAAAGCUCUAUCAGCAGGGAAGAAAAUGACGGUACCUGAGUAAGAAGCCCCGGCUAACUACGUGCCAGCAGCCGCGGUAAUACGUAGGGGGCAAGCGUUAUCCGGAUUUACUGGGUGUAAAGGGAGCGUAGACGGCAGCACAAGUCUGGAGUGAAAUCCCGGGGCUUAACCCCGGAACUGCUUUGGAAACUGUGCGGCUGGAGUGCAGGAGGGGUAAGCGGAAUUCCUAGUGUAGC